RNAcentral lists this long non-coding RNA (321 nucleotides) under Mytilus galloprovincialis (Mediterranean mussel). The record is from RNAcentral. Lineage: Eukaryota; Metazoa; Mollusca; Bivalvia; Mytilida; Mytilidae.
GGAUCGUAACCCUUGGCUUGCGAAGAUGGUCGAUUCCAUAUUUCUUCGAUUUUGACUUUGAUAAAAUGCGGUUACCUGCAUUAUGCAAUAUUCAUUGUAUUUUUAUAAAUGAUAUUGCCAGCUGCCUCCAGUAGUGUUCACAUGUAAAUGUAUGCAGUCUGAGGUGAAAAGCCCAAACAUAUUUCAAACCAACACAACCAUGACAACAGUCAUAAGUCAAAAGUAUAUCACCACUUUAAUACAAAAAUACCGACCUCCAAGGUCAAUUCAAAUAGGGGAAGUCCCUUUAAUCUGACAAAAUCAAACGGUAUCAACAUAUCA